Long non-coding RNA from Pan troglodytes (chimpanzee), 1148 nucleotides. RefSeq lists it as uncharacterized. Lineage: Eukaryota; Metazoa; Chordata; Mammalia; Primates; Hominidae. The record is from RefSeq and is a predicted model, not a curated record. The transcript is spliced from 3 exons.
CAGCAGAGUUAGUUCAAUCUCUCUCCCUUAUUGUAGCCUUGAAUAAAGGCUUUGCCUUUCAAACUCUGUCCUGCCCAUUUUUCUUUGACAUGUUCAGAUGUUGGCAAGGCUGAAAACUGCAGGGGAUCUGGUUGUGAUAAUCCAGACGGAGUCUCCCUUUGUUGCCAACCCUGGAGUGAAGUGGUGGGAUCUGGGCUCACCGCAACCUCCGCCUCCUGGGUUCAAGCGAUUCUCCUGCCUUAGCCUCCCAAGUAGGCCUGAAUAUAUACAAAUAUGAACAAGACCCACAAGGACUGCUCAUCACCCCAGUAUUCCAUUUACAGCAUCCUGAAUGAACUCCCGACCAGGACUAUAAUUCUCUCUUGCAGCCAAAUAUCCUGCUUACUCCUGGUAUCUACCUGGUCAGCAGACCUCAUGAGUUAUCGCCCAGUGACAAAACCAUCCCAAAGAUGCACCAGUCCAGCACAAAGUAUGACUGUCAAUCUCACAAAAGAUGUAGGGUUCUAGGAGGAUACUCAGAGUAUAAGAAUUACGCUAAGUGAAAUAAGCCAAGCCCAGAAAGACACAUACUUUAUUAUUUCAUGUAUCUGUGGAAUCUAAAAGAGUCAAAUUCAUGGCAGCAGGGAGAGGGCUGAAGAAGGGGGAGAUGUUGAUCAAAGUUUCUAUGUAUGCAAAGACCAAACCAUCACAUUAUGCCUCAUAAAUAUAUACAAUUAUUAUUUGCUAAUUACAAGUAAAGCAAUAAAAGAAGAAAAAAAGGAAUCAUAAGUAAAUCCAUGACAAGUGAAAAUGCAAUGGAGAGAAGGGAAUCAAUGAUUGAAGAAGAGAAAGGGCAGUGGAUUCACAACUGCUUCGAAAGAGUGAUUUGACUGGCAAAGGACUGGGGAGAGGUCCUUUGGGAAAUGGACAAAGCCCUCGAAUGGUUAGGAAAGACGAUCUCUUUAUAAAUGCAGGGCAUAAGCUGAGCACAAGGUGAAGUUUGGCAUGUACUGCCGUGGGAUGUUGUAAAAAUUAUGUCAAAAGCAAAGCAAUUCUUGGUUCAUCUGUGUUCACUCUGAGAUUAGCCUAUUAUUGGGGUUAAACUUAUAAACAAACUUCUGUUCAUCAUUUUUUUCUCCAAAAUAAAGUGAUCAAAUUGUCCCACAGAA